AACGAACGCUGGCGGCAUGCCUAACACAUGCAAGUCGAACGAUGCUUUCGGGCAUAGUGGCGCACGGGUGCGUAACGCGUGGGAAUCUGCCAUUGGGUUCGGAAUAACAGUGAGAAAUUGCUGCUAAUACCGGAUGAUGUCUUCGGACCAAAGAUUUAUCGCCCAGGGAUGAGCCCGCGUAGGAUUAGCUAGUUGGUGGGGUAAUGGCCUACCAAGGCGACGAUCCUUAGCUGGUCUGAGAGGAUGAUCAGCCACACUGGGACUGAGACACGGCCCAGACUCCUACGGGAGGCAGCAGUGGGGAAUAUUGGACAAUGGGCGCAAGCCUGAUCCAGCAAUGCCGCGUGAGUGAUGAAGGCCUUAGGGUUGUAAAGCUCUUUUACCCGGGAUGAUAAUGACAGUACCGGGAGAAUAAGCUCCGGCUAACUCCGU
RNAcentral lists this ribosomal RNA (432 nucleotides) under uncultured bacterium. RNAcentral's name for it is "partial 16S ribosomal RNA". It matches the Rfam family "Bacterial small subunit ribosomal RNA", at positions 29 to 506 of the family's 1533-position model. The record is from RNAcentral.